GGGCCCGCACAAGCGGUGGAGCAUGUGGUUUAAUUCGAUGCAACGCGAAAAACCUUACCUGGGCUUGAACUGUGGUCGCAAACUCAUGAAAGUGAGUCCUCCUUCGGGACGGCCAUAGAGGUGCUGCAUGGCUGUCGUCAGCUCGUGCCGUGAGGUGUUGGGUUAAGUCCCGCAACGAGCGCAACCCUUGCCCUUAGUUGCCAACAGGUUAUGCUGGGAACUCUAAGGGGACUGCCCCAGACAAUGGGGAGGAAGGUGGGGACGACGUCAAGUCAUCAUGGCCCUUACGUCCAGGGCUACACACGUGCUACAAUGGCCGGUACAAUGGGAAGCAAUACCGCGAGGUGGAGCAAAUCCUAAAAACCGGUCUCAGUUCAGAUUGCAGUCUGCAACUCGACUGCAUGAAGUCGGAAUCGCUAGUAAUCGUGGAUCAGCAUGCCACGGUGAAUACGUUCCCGGGCCUU
This 464-nucleotide ribosomal RNA is filed under the name uncultured bacterium. RNAcentral describes it as "bacterial SSU rRNA". It matches the Rfam family "Bacterial small subunit ribosomal RNA", at positions 917 to 1382 of the family's 1533-position model. The record is from RNAcentral.